GGGCGACCGGCCACACUGGGACUGAGACACGGCCCAGACUCCUACGGGAGGCAGCAGUGGGGAAUAUUGCGCAAUGGGCGAAAGCCUGACGCAGCAACGCCGCGUGAGGGAUGAAGGCCUUCGGGUUGUAAACCUCUUUUAGCAGGGAAGAAGCGAAAGUGACGGUACCUGCAGAAAAAGCACCGGCUAACUACGUGCCAGCAGCCGCGGUAAUACGUAGGGUGCAAGCGUUAUCCGGAAUUAUUGGGCGUAAAGAGCUCGUAGGCGGUUUGUCGCGUCUGCUGUGAAAAUCUGAGGCUCAACCUCGGACUUGCAGUGGGUACGGGCAGACUAGAGUGCGGUAGGGGAGAAGGGAAUUCCUGGUGUAGCGGUGGAAUGCGCAGAUAUCAGGAGGAACACCAAUGGCGAAGGCACUUCUCUGGGCUGUAACUGACGCUGAGGAGCGAAAGCGUGGGGAGCGAACAGGAUUAGAUACCCUGGUAGUCCACGCCGUAAACGUUGGGCGCUAGAUGUGGGUCACAUUCCACGUGAUCCGUGUCGCAGCUAACGCAUUAAGCGCCCCGCCUGGGGAGUACGAUCGCAAGAUUAAAACUCAAAGGAAUUGACGGGGGCCCGCACAAGCGGCGGAGCAUGCGGAUUAAUUCGAUGCAACGCGAAGAACCUUACCAAGGCUUGACGUAUACAGGAAAACUGCAGAAAUGUAGUCCCCCGCAAGGGUCUGUAUACAGGUGGUGCAUGGUUGUCGUCAGCUCGUGUCGUGAGAUGUUGGGUUAAGUCCCGCAACGAGCGCAACCCUCGUCCUAUGUUGCCAGCACGUAAAGGUGGGAACUCAUGGGAGACUGCCGGGGUCAACUCGGAGGAAGGUGGGGAUGACGUCAAAUCAUCAUGCCCCUUAUGUCUUGGGCUUCACGCAUGCUACAAUGGCCGGUACAAAGGGCUGCAAUACCGCAAGGUGGAGCGAAUCCCAAAAAGCCGGUCUCAGUUCGGAUUGAGGUCUGCAACUCGACCUCAUGAAGUCGGAGUCGCUAGUAAUCGCAGAUCAGCAACGCUGCGGUGAAUACGUUCCCGGGCCUUGUACA
RNAcentral lists this ribosomal RNA (1079 nucleotides) under Candidatus Allofontibacter lacus. RNAcentral's name for it is "bacterial SSU rRNA". It matches the Rfam family "Bacterial small subunit ribosomal RNA", at positions 298 to 1387 of the family's 1533-position model. The record is from RNAcentral. Lineage: Bacteria; Pseudomonadati; Pseudomonadota; Alphaproteobacteria; Candidatus Pelagibacterales; Candidatus Pelagibacteraceae.